UGUUAUUAGUGGGACGGGACCGUGACCUACCCUAGGGUACUGUACAAUGAGAUAAGGAUAGAUACUACCGGACACUCCCGCUGCACGGCCCGUGACUCUGGUCCAUAUGCGUUCCCUUUUGCAGUAGCCAUCCCCAGGAGCAUGAUUGGCGGCAGGAGAGGCGGAUUCAUCUGAGAUAGAACAUGAACAGUACCUAAAUCUGAGCAGAGGCGCGAGUGGCUGGGACAAGAGGAGGCGCGCAUCCAGCCGCGGUUCCGGGCCGGCGGCACUGGCACGAGUUUCGCCGCCGGUGCUUAUCCAGCGCCGGGGCACAGCGCGCAACACUGUCGGUGACGCCCUGCGCCGUCGUGUAUUCUCCGGAUCCACCACGGGUUGAUGAAGGAUGUUUGGCGCUAUAUUUAUCUUUAUGACAUUUUACAUCUCAAGGGAAACAAUGCAAAGAGGCCGCAUCAAUUUAUCGAGUCUAUAGAUGAAUGAAUGAAUGAGAGUGAAGAGGCGGGUAACGCAAUGGUGAAAAACCAAGAAGUAUCUUGGGGCACAACUUGUAUGGGGUGAUUGUUUUGGGUGCAAGCGUUAUAUGAUAUUGAGAGCUGCGAUAGUGCGAUAUGGCUACGAAGACUAGUUAAUUCUGUUGUCAACCCAUGUAGCGAACUUAAUAUCGGGUACAUUUGCAUUUCUCAGACAUAACCAUUUAUCGCAUUUUUCGUUAGGGAGGUCAAUUGAUGAAUGUCCGAGCUGUGAUUUACAAAUUUAAAAUAUUUUUAUAA
Long non-coding RNA from Triticum aestivum (bread wheat), 767 nucleotides. RefSeq lists it as uncharacterized. NCBI's taxonomy places the organism in Eukaryota, Viridiplantae, Streptophyta, Magnoliopsida, Poales, Poaceae. The record is from RefSeq and is a predicted model, not a curated record. The transcript is spliced from 2 exons.